UAAGGAAUAUUGGUCAAUGGGCGGAAGCCUGAACCAGCCAUGCCGCGUGCAGGAAGACGGCCCUACGGGUUGUAAACUGCUUUUGCAGGGGAAUAAACCCCGGUAUGUAUACCGGGCUGAAUGUACUCUGAGAAUAAGGAUCGGCUAACUCCGUGCCAGCAGCCGCGGUAAUACGGAGGAUCCAAGCGUUAUCCGGAUUUAUUGGGUUUAAAGGGUGCGUAGGUGGUUUUUUAAGUCAGGGGUGAAAGACGGCAGCUUAACUGUCGCAGUGCCUUUGAUACUGAAGAACUUGAAUGAACUAGAGGUAGGCGGAAUGUGACAAGUAGCGGUGAAAUGCAUAGAUAUGUCACAGAACACCAAUUGCGAAGGCAGCUUACUAUGGUUUUAUUGACACUGAGGCACGAAAGCGUGGGGAUCAAACAG
RNAcentral lists this ribosomal RNA (423 nucleotides) under uncultured bacterium. Its description in RNAcentral is "bacterial SSU rRNA". It matches the Rfam family "Bacterial small subunit ribosomal RNA", at positions 355 to 775 of the family's 1533-position model. The record is from RNAcentral.